GAUGAAGAACGCAGCGAAAUGCGAUAAGUAAUGUGAAUUGCAGAAUUCCGUGAAUCAUCGAAUCUUUGAACGCACAUUGCGCCCCCUGGCAUUCCGGGGGGCAUGCCUGUCCGAGCGUCAUUUCACCACUCAAGCCUGGCUUGGUGUUGGGCGACGUCCUCUUUGGGGACGCGCCUCGAAACGCUCGGCGGCGUGGCACCGGCUUUAAGCGUAGCAGAAUCUUUCGCUUUGGAAGUCGGGGCCCCGUCUGCCGGAAGACCUGCUCGCAAGGUUGACCUCGGAUCAGGCAGGGAUACCCGCUGAACUUAAGCAUAUCAAUAAGCGGAGGA
Molecule: unclassified non-coding RNA, 329 nt
Filed under: soil metagenome
Description: partial contains 5.8S ribosomal RNA, internal transcribed spacer 2, and large subunit ribosomal RNA
Rfam family: 5.8S ribosomal RNA (bases 1-120)
Source: RNAcentral